Molecule: ribosomal RNA, 468 nt
Filed under: uncultured bacterium
Lineage: Bacteria
Description: partial 16S ribosomal RNA
Rfam family: Bacterial small subunit ribosomal RNA
Source: RNAcentral
GACGAACGCUGGCGGCGUGCUUAACACAUGCAAGUCGAACGGAAAGUCCCUGCUUUUGUGGGGUGCUCGAGUGGCGAACGGGUGAGUAACACGUGAGUAACCUGCCCUUGACUUUGGGAUAACUUCAGGAAACUGGGGCUAAUACCGGAUAGGAGCUCCUGCUGCAGGGUGGGGGUUGGAAAGUUUCGGCGGUUGGGGAUGGACUCGCGUCUUAUCAGCUUGUUGGUUGGGUAGUGUCUUACCAAGGCUUUGCCGGGUAGCCGGCCUGAGAGGGUGACCGGCCACACUGGGACUGAGAUACGGCCCAGACUCGUACGGGAGGCAGCAGUGGGGAAUAUUGCAUAAUGGGCGGAAGCCUGAUGCAGCCACGCCGCGUGCGGGAUGACGGCCUUCGGGUUGUAAACCGCUUUCGCCUGUGACGAAGCGUGAGUGACGGUAAUGGGUAAAGAAGCACCGGCUAACUCCGUG